RNAcentral lists this transfer RNA (74 nucleotides) under Acholeplasma laidlawii. RNAcentral describes it as "tRNA-Arg". It matches the Rfam family "tRNA". Rfam says of the family: Transfer RNA (tRNA) molecules are approximately 80 nucleotides in length. Their secondary structure includes four short double-helical elements and three loops (D, anti-codon, and T loops). Lineage: Bacteria; Bacillati; Mycoplasmatota; Mollicutes; Acholeplasmatales; Acholeplasmataceae. RNAcentral also lists the same sequence under 1 other name. The record is from RNAcentral.
GUAUCCGUAGCUUAACUGGAUAAAGCAUUCCCCUCCGAAGGGAAAGAGUGUCAGUUCAAACCUGAUCGGAUACA